UACGUAGGGUGCGAGCGUUAAUCGGAAUUACUGGGCGUAAAGCGUGCGUAGGCGGUUCGUUAAGUCAGUUGUGAAAGCCCCGGGCUCAACCUGGGAAUUGCGGUUGAAACUGGCGAACUAGAAUCUGGCAGAGGGGGGUGGAAUUCCACGUGUAGCAGUGAAAUGCGUAGAGAUGCGGAGGAACACCGAUGGCGAAGGCAGCCCCCUGGGCUAACACUGACGCUCAGGCACGAAAGCGUGGGGAGCAAACAGG
RNAcentral lists this ribosomal RNA (253 nucleotides) under uncultured bacterium. RNAcentral describes it as "partial 16S ribosomal RNA". It matches the Rfam family "Bacterial small subunit ribosomal RNA", at positions 524 to 776 of the family's 1533-position model. The record is from RNAcentral.